GCCGGUGUAGCUCAGGGGUAGAGCGUUUCCUUGGUAAGGAAGAGGUCACGAGUUCAAUUCUCGUCAUUGGCUC
RNAcentral lists this transfer RNA (73 nucleotides) under Aquaticitalea lipolytica. Its description in RNAcentral is "tRNA-Thr". It matches the Rfam family "tRNA". From Rfam's summary of the family: Transfer RNA (tRNA) molecules are approximately 80 nucleotides in length. Lineage: Bacteria; Pseudomonadati; Bacteroidota; Flavobacteriia; Flavobacteriales; Flavobacteriaceae. RNAcentral also lists the same sequence under 5 other names. The record is from RNAcentral.